UGCAUCACUUGCCGCAUUGCCAGUAUAGCCAGUAUCAACAGAGGAAGAAACUUGUGGAAGUGACUGCCAAUCACCUGGAAGACAGACUAUGACAACGGCCUCACGGGAACUGGCCUCCAGUUCCGACUGCUUCCCUCUGAUGACGCUUAGGAAAAUGAUCUGAAAAAAGGCUCAUGAAUUUCCAGUGCCAGCUAACAGUGCUGCCUCCACACUCAUUCAAAAGGCGAGAAAAAAAAUUCUAUUUUUCCUCCGUACAGAAACUUGACAAACUCAAGAACUUGUGACAAGUUCUACGUACAUGCUGAAAUGAACACCUCGCAGUGGGCACUUUCAUUUAAUAUUAUGGAAUAUAACUCAGGAUAAGCGAGUAGUUAAGAAUAAUGUAUAACAUUUUAAUCAUUGAAAAAUCAUUAAGUUUAUGCUUUGGGAUACAGGAAGCAAAAGCUUGAGUCAGUUUCCAAGCUGCGAAUUAUCUGAGCUCAUCAAGAGGCUAAGAGAGGAAGGGAGAGAAACAAGAAUAUGCAUUCUGAAAAUUUCAGAUUACAGUCUAAUAUCUCAGGCGAGAGAGUUUACCAUUAAAUAAAUAGAAACAAUAUCAGUCGUUGCCAAAUUAUAAAACUAAAUAUUUAUUUUUCAAUAAAUAAAAAACUCAUUUUUUAAAAUCCUUAUUGAAAGCGUUGUCGUUUCUUUCUGUUUUUACUUUUUGAGCGAAGAACGGUAUCAAUAUGUAAAUAUCGAAUUAUUAAAAAUAGAUGUUGAUUUUUAAAUGUGCGUUUCAAAGAAAUUAACAGAAGAAUUACAUAGAGAGAGAAUUGCAGUUUUUAUGUUAUUAGAAAAGUUUCCUAUAACUAUUGAAUUAAUUUUGGAUUCAGCCCAUAAUUUUUUAAAAGAGUUACAAAUUUUGCAAUUGAUUAAUUAGAAUGUUAGAAAACCUACUUGUAGUUUGUUUAUGACACCAGUAGCGUAAAAUAAUAUUUAUUGCAAAAUGUUAUUAAGAAGGGCAAAAAACGUUUUUUUAGAUAGAUAACUUUUAGGGCAACGUGUUUUUAUGCAAUAAGUGAAAAACCUUAGACUUCAUCGAUUGGGAAAAACUUUUGAUUUUAUUCAAAGAGAACAAAAACCGCAAACUGAAAGCAUUAACACUCCUCCAAAGCGUUAAAAAAUGGAAUGAUGUUAAUUCCUUGCUCGAAAGAGAUAAAAUUAACUUAAAAUGUCUAUUAUCUUGCGAUGGCAAUGCUGUUUAAAAUUCUAAAACUAAGCACUUCCGAAGAAACAAGAACAAACCUUAUUAUUACUUCCCUUAGUUUGUCUCUUUUACGAAGCUGAAGAUCUGAACAAUAAAUAAAAAAGGUCUGAACAAUAAGUUUAAUUUUAUCAUCUGACUGCCUUGGUAUAGUUAUUAUUACAUUUUUUAACCGCACAAUGAAACAAAAAGAAAAAAAAAAAAAAAGGGUGGUUAGCCACCAAUUAGCAUUUCUUUCAAAACACCUUUCCUACGUACCGGAGAUCAUUUUACAGUCGCAUAUCAUUCUGUGGAACAAUUUACACAGGUCUGAAUCCAAAUUUCUCGAUGCAGAUUAGAAAUGAAUAAAAACAAGCGUCAAGAAACUUUAUUUCCCUUUUUAUCUCCAUAGGAAAACGGAUAAAUAAGCCCAGUCUGGAUUUUUCAAGGUCUAAAUGAGGGGUAUAAAACAUAUGUGCAAAGAACAGCAAUCUGAAAAAUGUCAGAAACUACUCAUUUUUGCUAAGAAGACUGUUUCUUAAAUUCAGAGAGUAGACUGAAAUUUAUAUGAAUGAAUCGAAAAUGCUUGCAUGAUUUACUAUAAUGUUGGAAAUAAGACAAUGUGAAAUUUGCAUAUGCACUCGAAAGUUCCCAUAAAUUUUUUGAGACCCUUGAGGAAAGUUACAUUUACUUCCAUGGGAUUCAUGUUUUACUUGUGGGAUAUAUAUUACUGUCUUCAGAGUAAAUCACUUUUAAAGACAACAUUUUAUUCUGUCUAAGUAUUCUUAGUAUUUUAAAACGGGUCUUCCAGCUCAAUGUCAGAAGCGUCAUUUCAUGCUUAACACUUCUAGAUGUAUUUAAAUUGUACGAAUUGAGCUAUUUUCUUUGCAAAUACAAACCUUCGUCACAAACUUAUUACUGAAAUGAAUACGGCAAUUCAGAACGAAGCUAUUGGUCUAACAGGAGGACUACGGCUCCGGAAAACUGUCUAACAGAAACUGGAUCAUAGUUUUUUUACAUUUAAGGAAAUCAUGAAAACUCUUACACUGUUAGUCCAUUUUCUUGGAUUUAAAGUCGAGUCGAACUACUAGUGUUCAGUACUUUUUACAUUUGACCAUUAGUUGGUCCUUUAGAAACUAAAAUGAAUGUCAUAUUUUUAUUUUGAGGAACGUUUCUGCAGUGAAUUAUGCAUUUUUUCUUAAGUAUAUAUACAUAUGUGCAUUUAUAUAUGCAUAUAUAUGCGUGUGUAAGCAAAUACUACAAAUAAUACAAGUCUGCCACGCAUAGUUAUAAUUUCAUAGUUCAUUUCAAUUUUAUAAUAAUAACUUUCAAGCACACUUUUUUGUAAACUGCAACUAAGAACGUACACUGCAAAAAGUUAAUUAAAUAUUCAAAAAAAAAAAAAAAAAAAGAAGAAAAAUACAAGUUCUAAACUCAAAAUAUUUUAAACCUUUUAAAAAUUAAAGUAUUAAGCAAUUUAAAAUUGUAAUAAAAAGAAGCAUAAGAAGUGAUUGAACAAAAUUUUAAAAACGAAAUACCGAAAGUGACUUAAGCACUUUAGCCAUUAAGAAUUUUUAGAAAAUGAAUACGUCAAAAAAUCAGCAAUGCUCUCUCCGGGAUUCGAACUUCCCGACUGCUGGCCUGACGUGCUUUCAUUUAUAACACGAAUUAGACGUUAAGGAAGGAGAAAGAUCCCCUUUAAAAUAUUGCGUAUUAAAGAGAGUAGUACGGGAGAAGUUUUGCCUUUAUCUCUUUGCAUUUUUAAGCGUUCCAUGAGCUAAUCUACCUAUCUGUUUAUGACUACCGUAUCAAUGUACAUCUGUUAUUGGUCCACAAAAUUUGUGAAGAAAUAGUCUCAAUGUUGACAGACCACCCCACAAAUCAUAUUCAAGAAGCUUUAUUUUCGGGUUCAAUUAAGACUAUCUGGAGCCCCGAGGAAAACUAUUCUUUCAAGCACCACAAUGCCACUUUUCUUGCUUUAUGAAGAAUAAUAAGAUUAGGAAGAUUGGGAUUAUUUCGAAAUUCUCUAAAAUUUGUAUGCCUAAGCUCGGGGGCGGGGUUAUGAGCCUAGAUGGCAAUUAGGCAUUGAGCAUUUUAUUUACAUUGCAUAAGUUCAGUCGUAGGAAAUGUUAAUCAGGAUCGCUUGGGAAGUCUAGCAAUAUCUUUUUUCUUCGCUGGUUACUUUGACGGAAUUUGUAUAAUAACAGCUUAAAUGUUCGAACAAAGAAAUUAUCUGUUUCACCUUUGAACCAGAGGUAAGAAGCAUUUUAUUAGGGUUAACAGUCUUCUUAGAUAUUCUGUAAUUAAUUUAUUCAGACAUCUGCUUUGAUUUUGAGAGAGUUAAUUUUUAUUGAGAAGAUUUUUACCGCCAAAUGAAAAAUGCAGACUUAUUACUGCAGAUGUUGACAAUUUGGUACGGCCUGCGUCAGAAUAAAAUGCAUUAUGGAUCUAUGGUAAAUGUAUAACACAUUUUAUAGAAAAUAUUAGAUCUACUAAAUAGCAUAAAAUACGUAUAUAAACACAAACAUUAUAACACACACCAGUAAUGCGUUUCAUAAUCCUAUAGCUGAAAAAUACUAAUGCUUCUGGGAACCUUGGAAUAAAAUGUUUUUAUAUAUCUCUAUUAAUUAUUAUUAUGCACAUUUUUUGAGCUCCUUUAUAAAGUUUAUAAGAAAGGUAAACUAUAAUUUUCCUGACAGAAGAUUUAAACAUAAAAUAACUUAAGUGUUAUUCAUAUUUAUUAGUAAUAUUCCGACACUCCCUCUCAAAAACUUAAAUUGCCUGCUUAAAAGAUCUGAUACAGAGAAUUUCAUUCCCAUAAAAAUUUGCCCUACAUUGAAAAACAAUGGCUGGAGUUUUUCCCCUUUUUGUAUCUAAGAAUUCAGACCAAGAAUCCGUCCCUCCUAUUUUCCCAAUUCUAAAAACUAUUUUCUGGAAUUUGACGUUACCUUUUGACCAUUUAAUGCCAAUAUUAUGAUGCUAUGAAAUUUUAAAUGCAUAAAUUUGGGUCAAGUGUACCAGGCUAAAAAUAGCAGAAUCAUCAGUGAGGGUAAAGGAUCCUUAUGAAUUCGACACCUAAUUCCCACAAUUUUGAAUUGAACAUAAAUGUAUCCAGGAAAUUUACUCAUUUAGCCAUGUCACAGUCUUCAUCUGGUAGGUCGAAUCAGGAAGCAGAAAUCCUUCAUCGCCCGAGCUGAUGGAAGAAGUUUUUGAUCAUCCGUUACGUUACUUCUGAUUAUCUAAUUUACCUAAUACAAGAACCAUUCUGGAUCUUGAAGAAAACAUUGCGCGUCAUUUCUUCAGAUAAAUUUCUGAAGAAGCACGUUUUUAGAUAAAGUUUCCUGUUGCAUUUCGCAUCAGUCAGCCUGAUAAGGCUUUAAAAUGUCUUGUGGGUCUCAUUUACAGAUGAAAGAGAAAUUCUAAAGAUAAUACAAAAGAUACAAAACUAUAUAGGUAUAGAGACAAGUUCCUUAGAAGGAGUGAAAAUGAAUGUUUAAUUAGUUUUCAGAAAAGUAAAAUGCUCGUAAGAAAACUAGUUAUGAUGAAGACCAGACAUCAGUAAAAAGUUAGAGCAUUAGAAAUGUUUUUAAGAAAGUGGAUUUUGUUACUUUAUGUUACACUAUAGGGCUGUGUCAUUUAUCAUUCUUACAACUUGACAAGCAUUGCCAUCGCAAGACAUUUUAACUUAUAUACUACAUAACAUAUUAACAAGCCAUUUUCCAUAGUGUUGCCAUUUGAUAUAAUAUGAGACAUUUAAUUUAUUUUUAGCGCUAUAACUAUAUUGCUUAACAAACAGAGAUUUAAGAACAAAAAAUAUACUUCUUAACAAUUUUAAUCUUUUAUGCUUUUAAUAAUAUAUUUGUUCGGCCCAGUUUAAUAUGUAAUAUAUUCCCCAAUUUUAAUCAACGCUUGAAACAUUCUUAUAAUGAAUAAAAGAUGUUUUUAAACCCAUAUAAUACAUAUCUUGUUACAUUAUUUAUGGCGAAAUCUAUUUUCUCGCUUUUGCCUUAUAAAAAUAUUUAAUUCCUUUGAAUUCAGUCACUCUUCUGAAGUUCUUUUUCAUUUUCAGCCAAUUUUUAUUAUAAGAAACUUUUAAUUUCUGAUUAAUUUUCUUAUACUGAAAGUGACUAAGCUGUGAUUAAAAUCUUUUCUAAGAAAUUAUGUAAAAAGGCUGACUUUAAGAGUAGAGCUGGUUUCCAUCACUGAACUGUGCCCUCGCAAUGGAAUUCAUUUCAGCAAUGCAGCAGACUGUCACAUUCUCUUUGAACUAAUUGCCACUGAAACAAAACUGCCCUUCGGUCGACGUGAACACUCACCACUGAAGGGAUGAUGGGAAUUCAACCUAUUGCACGGUGCUAUCUACAAGAUAACAGAACUCUGGAAGAGUGCUCAUUCUUAUUACGUAGAUCUCUCAUUGUGCUCAAGUCUGGACGAGGAUUCACUUCCAAUUACUCCAAUUGUGGAUCAAUCAGUCGUUAGUGGACGAACGUUGGUUGUUAAAAACCGACAGGAACGAAACGAAAACUGUCUCUCUUUCGAGAAUGUUGAACACUUCUUUCAUACAGGUGAUACCGUCGGUGUUCUUUAUUUCAUUCAUCCCCCGAUGAUUUUUUUAAAUAUUUCUACAGUGCCGUUGCCUUGGUUUUCUAGUGGUCAGGCUUCGAACACCUGUUGUUACAUGAGAAAUGGAUACUUAAAAUUGAAUCCAAUAUAAAUUGUAUUUUAUAAUACAGUGAUGUUUUAGAUGAUUUGUGACAUCUGAGGAUGCUAUCACACUAUGGCUUAAGUAUCAUAAUUGUUCUAGGAACAAAUUUCUAAACACCACAAAAAGUAUUUGUGUUGUCCAAAAAUGGCGUCGCAUUGUUCGCUGUCAUUGACCGGUUCACUUUAAACCAUAGUCUUUCUUGGCUAACAAGCAUAAAGUUGAUUCCUUUCAACUCCUAUGUUGCUCUUCGAACCAUGUAUUAAUGCAGUGUUUUUACCUAACAACAAAGUUGCUUAUGUCACACAUGAUACGCAUGCCAUUCUGUGAAGGCAUCCUAAGCUAUAUAUGCUGAAAAUUGAAUAUAGUUUCAUUUUUGCCCUAUGAAUAAUGCCAUGUUCCUAAAAUGCUCAAGUUUACUUCUAUCAUAAUUGAAAAUAAAAAAAAAUGUAUCUAGUGUUUCCAGUCAUAGAAAAUUAAGAGACGAGCAUAAGAAGAAUAAUAUGCGGUUAAACAUGGAUGAAUGCUUCAAGCCUUGGUCUUGAGAGGAGAAGUCAGAAUGUUUCUUUCCUAUAAAUAUGAAUUUAAAAUUAAGCUCAAAUAUGCAUUUUAGUACCCGCAGUAAGGCUCUUAAUAGUGACUUUUUUAAUAUGGAAAAUUCUGAGUUUCGAAUUUGUUUAUAUUAGCUGUCUGUUUCACAAUUAAUAUACUGGUUGAUGAAGUAGAUCUAAGGAAAAAAAAUGCCUAGACUACCUAAGGUAUUCAAAAACCUAUUAAUAUUAAUCAUAAAAAGUUAUGAUUAUAUCCAGUUCCUUGAGCAGUUUAACUACAGUUUCUUUCUUUUUCUUUUUUCAAAUUUUAGUUAAACCCUAACUUUUGAUAUGAGCAAUGAUGAACAUCUCUUUCGUAAAUUGUCCAUUGAUAAAACUAACUUUAAAAAAAGAGGAUUCAUAUUUGCAGACUGUAUAUUUAUGGUUUGGGCAGAACUAACUUAGAAGCAUGAGGAACAAAUUCACUCCUUUCCAUGCACCAUCAUGUAUAUUAUUAUUUUAGUGAUCUCUGUAUGGCAUAUAAUUAUCGGUAGAAAACUUCCAAAACCACUUUAUAAUCAGAUAUUCUUUAUUAUCACAUUUCUCUUUUUUCAGGUGUACGUAGGCGGUUGUAGAUUUUCUUUAUCGAGAAAUCUGGAGUUGUUACACAUUCUUCCUGGUUUUUUAUUCCUAAGAAUAAAACAUUUUCUAGGAAUACUAAAUUCUUUAAAAGCAUUUUUGUUAUAAAGCAUAACCUGCUAACAAUGAGUCGAAAAGGGUACAAUGAUUAAAUUAGAACUUGAAUUCGAAGCAACUUAUGGCAAAUGCAUUUACCCAAAUAAUAAAGCUGAAAAAAAGUGAAAAACCUAUUGGCGAAAUGUGGUGGCUAUUAAAAUGGGCAGAAACGUUUUUAACAUGUUUUGGCACGUACAAGAAAGAAAUUACAAAUAACGGUAUAAUAAUUGUAGUCAUUACUGUCGAUGUAUUUUGUUGUAGAUAAACUGCAUAAGCAACUGCAUAAACUGCAAAACAGAGCCUAUUUACAAACACCUUUUUCUUCUUACAAAUUCUAGAACGAUAAUGAAGUCUAUAUAUAAUCUGAUUUAUUUUAAUAAAUGAAUUCCUCUAUUUAGAUUUUUGAUUAUGAAAUACAGUCUUUUAAUCUUUUUCUUGCAAAGUGACUAACGUUUAGGUACCUUCAGAUCCAAUUUUCCAGGAAACAGGGCAAAUACUCCAGACAUUUAUAGAAAAACUGAGAAGCAGAAUAUAAUUGAAAAAACAUAACGGUAUUUCAGGCAUAUGUAAUAAAAUAAUUUGUAAUUUUGACACUUUACGUCGAUCUUUUUGAAGAUAAAUUUGAAGAUAAAUAAAUAAAUUAAACUCUACCUUUCAUUAAUCUGGUAUCAGUAAAAGGCUCUAUAUACUAAAAAUGGACAGGAAAUGGUUUUCUGGGAUGACAGGAUUCGGUGCCAAAUGAGUUAGUUAACCGAGAUAAAAUAACGAAAGACAUUCAUUGUAAAUCUGUUUUGACAUUAAAACGAUAACGAAAACAUUCAUACAGAUCUGCGUGGAGCAAAUGUAAAAUAGGAAUUUAUAGUUGUUUAUAAACUGAAAAAUUUGGACCGCAUUAUUUGGCAGAUCUAUAUUGCUUAUAAUAUUAUGCGUCUUUUUAAGUUAGCUUUGCCUUAUAAGUGGUAUGACAGAAGUUCAUGCUAUUAAAAUCUUCAGAUGGAUAAAAUUGGAAAUGAUCUGUGUUCUGGUUCUUAAAGUUUAUAGACAGAGAAAGAGUAAUCAGUUAAAAUGUUUUCGUCUGUGUUUCUUAAUUCGUGUUGAAGAAACGAGCAUGAAAAUGUCGGAUAUUUACUGUUUAAAUAUGUGAUAGCAUUUACAAGUUCAGUGAAAAUUAAUUAAUUCACUGGAUAUUUCGCUCUUUUAUUAAUGGCACACUGAAUAUGCUUGUGAAUUGCAUAAAAUCAUGCGUUGAGAAAUACACGCAAUUCUUCAACCCCCCCCUCAACGCAUGAAUCUCAACGAAAUCAUGCGUUGAGAAAUACACGUAAUUUUUCAUCCCCCCCCCCCGAUAUGUAAUACUUCCCUCGUAUCCGCGGUUAAUAGUAAAGGCUACAUGUUGUGUGAUAUUAAUGUAAAGUACAUAAAUGUAAUUAAAGUUCCGUUGAUAGAUUGCAAAAAAUAAAACAUUACCAACAUUAAAUAUAAUGGAAACUCAACUAAACGUUAGUGUCUAUUACCUAUUUGCCUCUGAGGCAGUUUGAUGGACAGAAUAAAUCCGCUAAAAAACAUAGAAUAAAUAUCAGUACUGGGAAAAGGAAAACACACUCUUACUUCUGAUCCUGACCCUUCAUGGAACUAGCUUUGCAGAAGUAUUUCACGUUACGCGCUCUUAUGGCAUUUAUUUUCAAGAGCCGGAAUAUAUUGGGUAAAAUACUCGAUAAUCGCGGCACACAGAGGAAGUCUGAGUCGGAAUUGGAAUUAAACCAAAUAUACAAAUAUAUAAUUUACAGUUGAUCAUAUCGCAUAGUAAAAUGUGAUUAUUUUGUCACCAUGCUUUUAACGAUAUAUCGAAAAAACAUUUCAUGCAUUAUUAUGCUAUCAAAUUAACACUACACAAAAUAUUUUAAAUUAAAUUUGUCUUGCUGGUUAAAUAAUUGGCAAUAGCUUUUAUAGAUAACUUUUUGACUUUCUAAAAUUUCAAUUACCCUUACACGUACGUGGAAACAUGGAACUGUAUCAUAAAAUUAUUUCUGCAUAAAAAAUAAUAUUAAAUAAAUAAAUGACCUAGACCUAGAUCUAAGAUGUCGGUGUAAAAUUUAGCACAUUGUGAAUAGAGACUCUUUUAACUUUAUUUUAAAUAGUAUAUUUCUCCUACGCGUAAUAGUAAGCAUGGUUAGUGUAACCUAUUUCCAAUUUUAAUCAUGAUUUUUCUCCACUGUAUAAUGUUCCUUAACAUUCCUUGGCAAUGCAUAUUCAAUUAAGGAUACAUAUUCAAUGUAUCCGUAACAUUUUAUAUUCAUUAUCAUCUGCCUGUAUCCUAGUGGUAGAUGUUAGUGGUAUUAGGUAUUGGUGUUAGAAGUUUAUAUCAGAGACGGGAAGAAUCCUAAAUUUUCUUGCACCCGAAUCCUAAACAACUUUCGAGCCUCGUCUUAACUUCAUAUAACAGUGAGAAUACUUAUUAUUAAAAGUUUCUAUCCAAAGAAAAGUUUGAAAUCCUCGUUUCCUAAAAAAUAAAUUUAGGAAUACAUUUCUUAAAAACACACCUAUAUUUAUCAAAAUUUAAAUUAAAUUUACGAAAUUAAAUACCAAAUUAAAACUGUUGGAUGUUUAUCUAUUUUCUCACUAUAAUUUGACAAUAAAUAUUCUAGAAAAAAUGCAAAUUUUUGGCAUCCUUCUAAGUCAAAACUAGUUUGGAGGAAAGCCGAUUAUUUUGAAACAUAACGCAACUGAACAUUAAGCAUAUGACGUUAAACUCUGUCCCGAAAAUUAAAACAAAAGCAGAAAUUAUGUUUAUUUCAUAUAAAGUGAGUUCAUAAAGAACAUUGAACUUUCUUAGACAUCUUGAAAACUGAAAUUUUUAAUAGAGAUUUUAUUUUAAGAAAAUUAGCAUUUAAACUCGCGUUGGGAUCAUUCUGCUUUUGUUUAAUCUGCCACAGUAAACUAAACUGAUACUGGUGGUUAAGGUAGCGAUGAAUAGGUGAAGCUGUACUUUUUCUUAUUUAAAUAUUUUUUAAUGAGCAUUUUAUUGGAUAUCAGAAAAAAGUAAUGCUCUCAAAAUUUAAAGUUGAACCGUUUAAAGGUUUUUUUAAAUGUUAGGAUUUGAAACAGUCUACAAAUGAUUUCCUCCCCCCCCCAACACACACACACAAAAAAAAGACUGGAAAUCGAGUUUCUUAAUGCGUGUUUUUGAUUCUCGAAUCUUUUUCAAAAUUCUCAAGAUUCAAAUGUCCAAUCUCUGUUAAUUCAAUCAUCUUGCUUUAUGCAACAACUUAAACAUUCAUGAUUUGAAUGUGCUUUCUUAAAAAAGAAUUGGCUAGAAUGAAUUCUUAUAUAUUUGACUCUGUAAAGAUUGCUGUACAAUACUCUUUCAUUAAGAAAACUGAAAAUACCAUUGCUGCCCAACCAAAGAUGAGAAACAGACACAUAAAUGGAUAUGUUACGACAAAUUAGAAGUUCCAGAUAUAAUUAUUCGUUUUUAAUAUGAAGGUAAUUAAAACAUAUAAUAAGUGUGAUGAUAUAGGAUUAUUUUCUGGUUUAGCUAUAUCACUAAAAACAGGACAGUCAGUCGCAGUAUGGUGAGAAUCCCGUUGUGUACAAGAUAGUUUCAACAAAUCAAGAAUUUAAGUUUGCUUAAAAGAGGUAGAAUCUCUGCUAGAAAAUCUUCUGUAAUUGAUGUAUCAUAAUUCUUUGAUUCUAAGAAGUUUCCCUUCAUUUCAGUAUUAUCCACAAAGGAAAAGUCUUUGAUUCUAAGAAAAUAAAAUACAUGAAAUAAAAAGCUAAAAUACAUACAGCAAAUAGCUUCUUUUAAUAAUCGACUUCGAUUUAUUAACAGAAAUCGAAUUAUUUUUAAGUUAGAAAUUUAAAAAGAUUUCUUAUUUCGGAAUAAUUAUAAGUCUGAAAAAUCUUGGUUUCGAAGGUCCAAGCCAUUUUUAGAGAGAUUUAUAUGGGAAAAAAUUGCUCUAAUGAUCAAAUAAGCCCUAUAUUAAAAAAUGACUGAAGAAAAAUGCAGUUUAAUUGUUUAAGAAAACUUAAUGUGAUAAAAAAAAUCUACAAAUGACUCUAAUACAGUUCUCAGGAAUUUCUACAACAGAAUCAAAUCCUUUCUUCACUUCUAAAGUUCCUGAAAGCUGAAAAGACAUUUAUGAUAAAAUCUUUUUGCAAAGUAGUCAAUGAAUUUUCAGCAAUAAAGGAAGCUUAUAUUAAUAUUUACAUGUCAAUGAGAUUAAUGACAUAACUCACAGAAACAAUAUUUUAAGAACAGCUGCAAUUUAUACAGUAAAAGAUUUUCAGGAUUUUAUUGUAUAGCGUACGUAUUUUAAUUAUGCUACGGUUGCAUUUCACAAUUAAUUAUUGUUCAUGAAAACAUCAAUCACUUUUUAACCCACUUAAGCAUUUCUGAAAUGAUUUAUUUAUGUUUCAUUCCAUAUUUUCUUUGCAUUUCACAAGUGUUCUUAUGUCUCUUAGAUAAAACAAUAUACGAGAAAAAGUAUAUUGUUUUAUCUUGUACCCAGCAUCUUGUGUAAAGCACAAUUCCUUUUUUUUCCCACGAACUACUAAUAUUUAUAAAAACUGGAAUGCAAGUAAAUCAAAUACAGGAAUUUUCGUUUAUUAUUUGAAAAGGAAUUCAUUUGAGUAUUAAUGUGAUUUUGAGAUUUUAGCCUAAUCUUCAGUACAUAACAGAAAGAAAACAAUUUUAUUCCUUAUAUAGUAUGUAUUUAUCAGAUAGAACUGAAAAGGAUAAAGAAAACAAUAAAAAUUCCCACUUUUUUAUCAAUGCAAUGCGUGUGCAUUUAAACAUUGUAGUAGCACAGGCGUAACCCUUCUGAUGGUCGGCUCUAUUGUAAGUGGAGAGAACACUGUUUAUUUUAUACUUCGCAUUUAUAACAUUAUCUCUGUUAGCGGUAGCGCUCCCACAGUUGCAUUCAGAAUGCUGUAAUUCAUACUUUUACAAUUAUCUUCACUACUUGAGAGUUUUGUUAAUUUUGAACAAUUUAUUUCUUUAAUUAAAAACAUUGAGCUGUGAUAAAUUUCAAAUAUUGAAAUAAAAAUACGAAGGCGUGACUAUAUGUAGCAAACAGAGAAAUCAAAAUAGUUUUCUUCUUAACAAAAUUCCGUUCCCCGAAGCUUAAAAAAAAAACUUUUCAAUAAUGUAUCCAAAUGAAACAUUUUACAUUAAAAUCUUCAAAAUUUAAAAAACGUAUCUUAUGAUUAUAAAAGUGUACUUCAAAACCUAUUUUUCUCCAUCUGAAAUAUUUUUCGUGCAGAAUAGCUAUUGCUACAGAGUAUCACAAAUGUUUCUGAAUGCUUUGAUUUCAUAAAAUAUUUUAACACCAAGUUCCAUCCCUUUGAAUCAGAUGUUUUUCAUACAUGUUUAAAUAAUAAUUUUAUACUGGCAUUUGAGUCCAAAAAGUUAAAUUAAAAACUGCCGAAGUCGAUGACUUAAAAUUGAAAUCCUUUCGAAGUCUUUUGCAUCACUGACCACCAGGCAACUCGGCGCUCGGCGAAAAGUGCAAAGUGUUACUUAUACAGUUUCUACUCUGCUCAUUGAUUAUAAAUGUACAUAGAACUCAGAUGAUCACUCUGUGGGACUUGUAUAUAGUUAUUAAUAAAUUAUUAAACUGCUUUUUUAUAAUAA
Stegodyphus dumicola is the source of this 12821-nucleotide long non-coding RNA. The record is from RefSeq and is a predicted model, not a curated record. Lineage: Eukaryota; Metazoa; Arthropoda; Arachnida; Araneae; Eresidae.